This 253-nucleotide ribosomal RNA is filed under the name uncultured bacterium. Its description in RNAcentral is "partial 16S ribosomal RNA". It matches the Rfam family "Bacterial small subunit ribosomal RNA", at positions 524 to 776 of the family's 1533-position model. The record is from RNAcentral.
UACAGAGGGGGCGAGCGUUGUUCGGAAUUACUGGGCGUAAAGGGCGCGUAGGCGGCCUUCUAAGUCGAACGUGAAAUCCCCGGGCUCAACCCGGGAACUGCGUCCGAUACUGGGAGGCUUGAAUCCGGGAGAGGGAUGUGGAAUUCCAGGUGUAGCGGUGAAAUGCGUAGAUAUCUGGAGGAACACCGGUGGCGAAGGCGGGUCUCUGGGCCGAUACUGACGCUGAGGAGCGAAAGCGUGGGGAGCAAACAGG